GGAGUUAGCCGGUGCUUCUUCUGUGAGUGAUGUCCUUCCUGCCGGCUAUUAACCCGCAGGCCUUCUUCCUCACUGAAAGUGCUUUACAACCCGAAGGCCUUCUUCACACACGCGGCAUGGCUGGAUCAGGGUUGCCCCCAUUGUCCAAUAUUCCCCACUGCUGCCUCCCGUAGGAGUCUGGGCCGUGUCUCAGUCCCAGUGUGGCUGAUCAUCCUCUCAGACCAGCUACGGAUCGUCGCCUUGGUGAGCCGUUACCUCACCAACCAGCUAAUCCGACAUAGGCUCAUCCGAUAGCGCGAGGCCCGAAGGUCCCCCGCUUUCCCCCGUAGGGCGUAUGCGGUAUUAGCCUGUGUUUCCCCCAGGUUAUCCCCCACUACCGGGCAGAUUCCUAUGCAUUACUCACCCGUCCGCCGCUCGCCCACCACGGAGCACGACUCCCGUCGCUCGCCGCUCGACUUCGUCAUGUGUUAGGUCCGUCGCCGCCGACGCGUUCUACUACUGAGCCGACGAACGUACGAACCGUACCGUACGUACGUACGGACGGGCGGUCGGUCGGACGGACGGACGACG
RNAcentral lists this ribosomal RNA (570 nucleotides) under uncultured bacterium. Its description in RNAcentral is "partial 16S ribosomal RNA". The record is from RNAcentral.